GUGUCAGCCGCCGCGGUAAUACGAAGGUGGCAAGCGUUGUUCGGAUUUACUGGGCGUACAGGGAGCGUAGGCGGUUUGAUAAGCCCUCUGGGAAAUCUUCGGGCUUAACCCGGAAAGUUCAGAGGGGACUGCCAAGCUAGAGGACGGGAGAGGAGCGCGGAAUUCCCGGUGUAGCGGUGAAAUGCGUAGAGAUCGGGAGGAAGGCCGGUGGCGAAGGCGGCGCUCUGGAACGUUUCUGACGCUGAGGCUCGAAAGCGUGGGGAGCAAACAGGAUUAGAAACCCGUGUAGUCC
This 292-nucleotide ribosomal RNA is filed under the name uncultured bacterium. RNAcentral's name for it is "partial 16S ribosomal RNA". It matches the Rfam family "Bacterial small subunit ribosomal RNA", at positions 505 to 796 of the family's 1533-position model. The record is from RNAcentral.